UGCCGAUUUAGCUCAGCUGGUAGAGCGCUUCACUUGUAAUGAAGAUGUCGCGGGUUCGACUCCUGCAAUCGGCACCAA
This 78-nucleotide transfer RNA is filed under the name Klebsiella phage vB_KaeM_Boboto. RNAcentral's name for it is "Kelbsiella phage vB_KaeM_Boboto tRNA-Thr". It matches the Rfam family "tRNA". From Rfam's summary of the family: Transfer RNA (tRNA) molecules are approximately 80 nucleotides in length. Their secondary structure includes four short double-helical elements and three loops (D, anti-codon, and T loops). Further hydrogen bonds mediate the characteristic L-shaped molecular structure. tRNAs have two regions of fundamental functional importance: the anti-codon, which is responsible for specific mRNA codon recognition, and the 3' end, to which the tRNAs corresponding amino acid is attached (by aminoacyl-tRNA synthetases). tRNAs cope with the degeneracy of the genetic code in two manners: having more than one tRNA (with a specific anti-codon) for a particular amino acid; and 'wobble' base-pairing, i.e. permitting non-standard base-pairing at the 3rd anti-codon position. RNAcentral also lists the same sequence under 2 other names. The record is from RNAcentral. Lineage: Duplodnaviria; Heunggongvirae; Uroviricota; Caudoviricetes; Pantevenvirales; Straboviridae.